RNAcentral lists this ribosomal RNA (209 nucleotides) under uncultured bacterium. RNAcentral's name for it is "partial 16S ribosomal RNA". It matches the Rfam family "Bacterial small subunit ribosomal RNA", at positions 568 to 774 of the family's 1533-position model. The record is from RNAcentral.
UGUGUAGGCGGUUUGGUAAGUUAGAAGUGUAAUACCCAGGGCUUAACUCGGGUGCUGCUUCUAAAACUGUCAGACUUGAGUGCAGGAGAGGUAAGUGGAAUUCCUAGUGUAGCGGUGAAAUGCGUAGAUAUUAGGAGGAACACCAGUGGCGAAGGCGGCCUGCUGGGCUUUAACUGACGCUGAGGCACGAAAGCAUGGGGAAGCAAACA